UGCCUCUCUCAAUCCGUGUUAAGAUCUCGUCAAACACCAACCCAUUAGUGUUGAUGAGACUUUCAAGUGAAGAAGUG
This 77-nucleotide microRNA precursor is filed under the name Schistosoma haematobium. Its description in RNAcentral is "mir-3492 microRNA precursor family". It matches the Rfam family "mir-3492 microRNA precursor family". The record is from Rfam by way of RNAcentral. Lineage: Eukaryota; Metazoa; Platyhelminthes; Trematoda; Strigeidida; Schistosomatidae.